GUGCUCGCUUGAGCAGCAUAUAUACUAAAAUUGGAAUGACACAAAGAAGAUUAUCAUGGCCCCUGGACAAGGAUGACACGCAAAUUUAUGAAGCGUUCCAUAUUAAA
Molecule: small nuclear RNA, 107 nt
Organism: Myotis myotis
Lineage: Eukaryota; Metazoa; Chordata; Mammalia; Chiroptera; Vespertilionidae
Source: RefSeq, a predicted model, not a curated record